UACAGAGGGGGCAAGCGUUGUUCGGAAUUACUGGGCGUAAAGGGCUCGUAGGCGGUCCGUCACGUCGGGAGUGAAAACUCAGGGCUCAACCCUGAGCGUGCUUCCGAUACGGGCGGACUAGAGGUAUGCAGGGGAGAACGGAAUUCCUGGUGUAGCGGUGGAAUGCGCAGAUAUCAGGAGGAACACCGGUGGCGAAGGCGGUUCUCUGGGCAUUACCUGACGCUGAGGAGCGAAAGCAUGGGGAGCGAACAGG
This 253-nucleotide ribosomal RNA is filed under the name uncultured bacterium. RNAcentral describes it as "partial 16S ribosomal RNA". It matches the Rfam family "Bacterial small subunit ribosomal RNA", at positions 524 to 776 of the family's 1533-position model. The record is from RNAcentral.